CCUACGGGAGGCAGCAGUGAGGAAUUUUGGGCAAUGGGCUUACGCCUGAACCAGCCAAGUCGCGUGAGUGAAGACUGCCCUAUGGGUUGUAAACCUCUUUUGUCAGGGAGCAACGCCGGCUACGUGUAGCCGGACUGAGAGUACCUGAAGGAAAAGCAUCGGCUAACUACGUGCCAGCAGCCGCGGUAAUACGGAGGAUGCGAGCGUUAUCCGGAUGAAUUGGGUUAAAGGGGUGCGUAGGCGGAAUGUAAAGUAAGCGGUAAAAUCGAGGGGUUAAACCUCGCUACGCUGUUGAAACUAGCGUACUUGAGUAGGAGAGAGGUAUGCAGAAUGCGUGGUGUAGCGGUGAAAUGCAUAGAUAUCACGAAGAACUCCGAUUGCGAAGGCAGCAUACUGGCGCGAAACUGACGCUGAAGUGCGAAAGCGUGGGUAUCGAACAGGAUUAGAUACCCUAGUAGUC
Molecule: ribosomal RNA, 460 nt
Filed under: uncultured bacterium
Lineage: Bacteria
Description: partial 16S ribosomal RNA
Rfam family: Bacterial small subunit ribosomal RNA
Source: RNAcentral